AGAGCACAGGGUGGAUGCCCAGGCACCAAACGCCGAUGAAAGACGUGGCAAGCUGCGAAAAGUCACGGGGAACCGCAAGCAGGUAUUGAUCCGUGAACGUCUGAAUGGGGAAACCCGGCGGGUUAACAGCCCGUCACUAUUAACUGAAUCAAUAGGUUAAUAGGGGGAACGCGGGGAACUGAAACAUCUCAGUACCCGUAGGAAGAGAAAAUAAAGAAUGAUUUCCUAAGUAGCGGCGAGCGAACGGGAAAGAGGCCAAACCGAAGGGCUUGCUCUUCGGGGUUGUGGAUCAGCAAAAAGGACGGAAGACCUUAGCAGAAGAGGAUUGGAAAGUCCCGCCAGAGAGGGUAAAAGCCCCUUACGCGAAAAGGUCAAACGACGAGCUGACACCAGAGUACCGCAGGACACGAGAAAUCCGGUGGGAAGCCGGGAGGACCACCUCCCAAGCCUAAAUACGAAUUGGUGACCGAUAGCGCAUAGUACCGUGAGGGAAAGGUGAAAAGAACCCCGGGAGGGGAGUGAAAAAGAACCUGAAACCCUGUGUUUACAAGCAGUGAAAGUGCAAGCAAGGCACGAUCACGUACUUUUUGUAGAACGGACCGGCGAGUUACGUUAUGCAGCAAGGUUAAGAACUGAAGGUUCGGAGCCGAAGCGAAAGCGAGUCUGAAUAGGGCGAUAGUUGCAUGACGUAGACCCGAAACCGGGUGACCUAUCCAUGAGCAGGUUGAAGUGGAGGUAAAGCUCCAUGGAGGACCGAACCAGACGUCUGUUGAAAAAGGCGGGGAUGACUUGUGGAUAGGGGAGAAAUUCCAAUCGAACCCGGAGAUAGCUGGUUCUCCUCGAAAUAGCUUUAGGGCUAGCCUCAUGGAUCAUUGAUGGGGGUAGAGCACUGAAUGUGCGCGGGGGCCACAAAGCCUACCAAACGCUAUCAAACUUCGAAUACCAUACAAUGCAGACCAUGGGAGUCAGUCCGCGAGAGAUAAGUUCCGCGGGCAAAAGGGGAACACCCCAGAUCAACCGCUAAGGUCCCCAAGUUCACGUUAAGUGGAGAAGGAUGUGGAAUUGCACAGACAACCAGGAUGUUGGCUCAGAAGCAGCCACACAUUUAAAGAGUGCGUAAUAGCUCACUGGUCGAGUGAUUGUGCGCCGAAGAUGUCCGGGGCUAAACGUGACACCGAAGCGAUGGGUGCAUCUGAAAGGAUGCGCGGUAGAGGAGCAAUGUGCAGAGGCAGAAGCCGUAUCGAGAGGCACGGUGGACACUGCACAAGAGAGAAUGCCGGUAUGAGUAGCGAGAGGCAUGCGAGAAACAUGCCCGUCGAAAGCCCAAGGUUUCCUGGGGAAGGUUCAUCCGCCCAGGGUAAGUCGGGGCCUAAGCCGAGGACGGAAGUCGUAGGCGAUGGACAGCAGGUGUAGAUUCCUGCACUACCGAUGGAAUGAAGCAGUGACACAGAAGGAUAACUCGAGCAGGGUGAUGGUCAACCCUGUGCAAGCAUCAAGGUUGGGUUGUAGUGAAGUACGCAACCCUAUAAGCUGAGAUGUGAUGCGGACCGAAAUUUCAGUAGGGAAGCGAGUGAGUUCACGCUGGCGAGAAAAGCUGCUAGUACAUCCAAAGGUACCCGUACCGGAAACCGACGCAGGUGGGCGAGGAGAGAAUCCUGAGACGAACGGGAGAACCCUUGUUAAGGAACUCGGCAAAAUGACCCCGUAACUUCGGGAUAAGGGGUGCCUGCGAGAGCAGGCCGCAGAGAAUAGUCACAAGCGACUGUUUAGCAAAAACACAGGUAUCUGCGAAAGCGAGAGCUGACGUAUAGGUGCUGACACCUGCCCGGUGCUGGAAGGUUAAGGGAACAUGUUAGAGCAAUCGAAGCAUCGAACCGAAGCCCCAGUAAACGGCGGCCGUAACUAUAACGGUCCUAAGGGAGCGAAAUUCCUUGUCGGGUAAGUUCCGACCCGCACGAAUGGUGUAACGACUUGUGAGCUGUCUCAACAGGGGGCCCGGUGAAAUUGAAGUAUGGGUGAAGAUGCCCAUUACCCGCGACUGGACGGAGAGACCCCGUAGAGCUUUACUGCAGCCUGAUAUUGAGUUUCGGUAACUGAUGCACAGGAUAGGUGGGAGUCUGAGAGACAUGGGUUUCGGCUCAUGUGGAGACGGUGUUGGGAUACCACUCUUCGGUUACUGAAAUUCUAACAUAGCUCUGUGAAACCAGAGGAUGGACAGUGUCAGGUGGACAGUUUGACUGGGGCGGUCG
This 2249-nucleotide ribosomal RNA is filed under the name human gut metagenome. RNAcentral describes it as "bacterial LSU rRNA". It matches the Rfam family "Bacterial large subunit ribosomal RNA", at positions 14 to 2285 of the family's 2925-position model. The record is from RNAcentral.